UUUAAACUAUUCCAGGUCACACAGAAAGAUGGAAAACUUAAUGCCCAAACUGGGUAAUAGUAAAGGAAAAAACUUAUAUGUUAAUUUCAUUUCUAAAUCUAGACUCAAAUAUCUUCAAUGAAAUGUAAAGAUGAAAUCAAAUCCAGAAGUAUAUUUAGAAGGAAGAUCAAUCAUGGACAAGCAGAGUUUAUUGCACAAGCGGAGAACCGGGCCUCAGUGGACGCAAGCAGGAAGCGAGUCCAUUUGUUCUGAUCGCUGCUCUGACGAACGAGCUCAGCCAGCUCGUCCUUCUGUGUCCUGGGUAUUGAGAAAAAGGCGUUUGCCAGAUCAAUAGCUGCAUACCGGGUCCCUGAGUGUGUGUUAAUUUGCUCAAGCAAUGAAACCACGUCUGGAACAGCAGCUGCAAUUGGAGUCACCGCCUGGUUAAGUUUAAGGAGAAAACUCUUUACUUCCUACAACCACACUCUCGAGACAAUUCCCUGGAUUUUUCUACCAGCUAGCAUCUUGCUGAGGCUUCCCACCUGCACGUCAACUUCUCCUGCCUCCUUGAGAUGUGGGCUGGUGAAUCAAACCAACCAGUUAAGUACACUCGGGGAGGUAGCUGUUUGAAAUGCGGAGUUAAUUCAUGUUACCAA
RNAcentral lists this long non-coding RNA (635 nucleotides) under Equus caballus (horse). RNAcentral describes it as "lncRNA (ENSECAG00000056497.1)". Lineage: Eukaryota; Metazoa; Chordata; Mammalia; Perissodactyla; Equidae. The record is from RNAcentral.